GUGGGAAUAGCUCAGUGGUAGAGCACAUACUUAGCAUCCAUGAGGUACUGAGUUCAAUCCCCAGUGCCUCCA
This 72-nucleotide transfer RNA is filed under the name Camelus bactrianus (Bactrian camel). It matches the Rfam family "tRNA". Rfam says of the family: Transfer RNA (tRNA) molecules are approximately 80 nucleotides in length. Their secondary structure includes four short double-helical elements and three loops (D, anti-codon, and T loops). Further hydrogen bonds mediate the characteristic L-shaped molecular structure. tRNAs have two regions of fundamental functional importance: the anti-codon, which is responsible for specific mRNA codon recognition, and the 3' end, to which the tRNAs corresponding amino acid is attached (by aminoacyl-tRNA synthetases). tRNAs cope with the degeneracy of the genetic code in two manners: having more than one tRNA (with a specific anti-codon) for a particular amino acid; and 'wobble' base-pairing, i.e. permitting non-standard base-pairing at the 3rd anti-codon position. RNAcentral also lists the same sequence under 2 other names. Lineage: Eukaryota; Metazoa; Chordata; Mammalia; Artiodactyla; Camelidae. The record is from Rfam by way of RNAcentral.